This 253-nucleotide ribosomal RNA is filed under the name uncultured bacterium. Its description in RNAcentral is "partial 16S ribosomal RNA". It matches the Rfam family "Bacterial small subunit ribosomal RNA", at positions 524 to 776 of the family's 1533-position model. The record is from RNAcentral.
UACGAAGGGUGCAAACGUUGCUCGGAAUUAUUGGGCGUAAAGCGCGCGUAGGCGGUUACUCAAGUCGGAUGUGAAAGCCCUCGGCUUAACUGAGGAAGUGCACCCGAAACUGAGUAGCUAGAGUACUAAAGAGGGUCGCGGAAUUCCCGGUGUAGAGGUGAAAUUCGUAGAUAUCGGGAGGAACACCGGUGGCGAAGGCGGCGACCUGGGUAGAUACUGACGCUGAGGCGCGAAAGCGUGGGGAGCAAACAGG